Molecule: long non-coding RNA, 237 nt
Organism: Pocillopora damicornis (cauliflower coral)
Lineage: Eukaryota; Metazoa; Cnidaria; Anthozoa; Scleractinia; Pocilloporidae
Source: RefSeq, a predicted model, not a curated record
UAGGGUCUGGGAAAUGCAUUUUUAUCACACAUAUGGGCAUGUGAUGCAAUCUUUCAUAUGAUUCGUGCGUUUGAGGGAGAAGAUGUAACUCACGUAGAGGGUGAUGUGAACCCUAUACGAGACUUAGGAAUCAUCUCUGAGGAAUUAAGGAAAAAGGAUGAGGAGUAUCUCAAAGAUAAAGUGGUUAGUUGUAACUGUUUACUUCCAAUUAUGGAUUGCUUAACCAUUUGCAUCCAA